CGCCUAACACAUGCAAGUCGAGCGAUUAAACUCCUUCGGGAGAUAUAAAGCGGCGGACGGGUGAGUAAGGCAUAGAUAAUCUGGUCCAGAAUGGGGAAUAACCGGUCGAAAGGCUGGCUAAUACCGCAUACUCUAGCUGAGUGAAUGUCAGUUAGGAAAGGCUUUGGCCGUUUUGGAAUGAGUCUAUGUAGGAUUAGGUAGUUGGUGGGGUAAAAGCCUACCAAGCCUACGAUCCUUAACUGGUCUGAGAGGAUGAUCAGUCACACUGGAACUGAGACACGGUCCAGACUCCUACGGGAGGCAGCAGUGAGGAAUUUUGCGCAAUGGGGGAAGCCCUGACGCAACGACGCCGCGUGGAGGUUAAGUAUCUCGGUAUGUAAACUCC
This 385-nucleotide ribosomal RNA is filed under the name uncultured organism. Its description in RNAcentral is "bacterial SSU rRNA". It matches the Rfam family "Bacterial small subunit ribosomal RNA", at positions 45 to 433 of the family's 1533-position model. The record is from RNAcentral.